This 1184-nucleotide long non-coding RNA is filed under the name Sparus aurata (gilthead seabream). RNAcentral's name for it is "lncRNA (ENSSAUG00010010082.1)". The record is from RNAcentral. Lineage: Eukaryota; Metazoa; Chordata; Actinopteri; Spariformes; Sparidae.
GCAUGUUUUGUGUCAGCAGAGGUGUUGAAAAGACAUAUUUUGGAUGUGUUUUUGCUGAGUGAUGUUAGUAAAAUUCAUGCAAGUGGGAUGAACAGAGUGCAGGAGUUUAUAUUCUGAUACUGUUCGGGUGAAACAUGCAGCACAGCGGCUUCCAGGCAUGUGUACUCGUUGUUUCCUGUUUGGCACCAACACUUUCACUGCAUCAGAUGAUGUAAUAUGACGUCCUUGAUUUGUUUCCACCCAGAGGGAGGAGGCGUCCCUCUGCAGAAAGAGUAACGUUAGGCGGGAAAAGGACCGAGGACGGCGGGCUGAGAUCUCUUGGUGAAAAAUGGCUCCCAAAACCAAAAAGGCGAUACAAGACUUUCUGGAGAACCUGACAGCUGGGAACUUUAAGAAGUUCUGCCAAGCACUCGUGGACCGCAGCGAUAAGCCUCGGAUCGCAACCAGCAAGGUGGAAGGAAAAGACUUUCUGGAUGUCACAAACGUUAUAGUCACAACCUUCGGUGAGGCCAAAGCUCUCGACGUGGUUAUUGAGCUGCUGACAGAGUGCAAGAUAAAUGCAGCCGACCUCGAAUCAAAAACCAGAAAGAGACCAAAAGUCUUUGUGGACAAUGGUGACCCUGCCCUCCCUAGAACCUCGAGCGGGGAGUUGGAGACAGAGCCCUCACAGGAGGCUCUGAACAUUGUGGCAGACCAGAAACAAGCAAAGGCUACUAGAAAUGGAGGUCCUGUGAAGGAGCCAGAAGAGGUGGAGGCUGAUGCGGUGGCCCGCGUUCGCUCUGAGGGCGGGGAUCCGUCUAAUGAGUGGCUCGUUCUGAGCCGGUUCAUCAUUCAGUUUGGCCAGUACAAAGGUCAAACCUUCAAGUGGCUGCUGGAGAAUCAUGUGGGCUACGCUGUUUAUGUGGUGGCCACCCACCAGGACGAGCGAAUGUGGAAGCGAGACGAUCGGAGCCCACUGAUGGUUCACAAGGUACUGCAGAAAAAUCAUACUCGACCGGGUGCCUGUGCCUGAGAUUGUUCUUACUUACAUGCACUUCUGACAUUUUACUGUAGCUGUUGCACAUCUGAUCUAUUAUAACCAAACCAUGUCCACAGUCCUGAAGUCUCUCCCCUUUCUGGAACCAGUAGAAAUGUUCCUUUUGUUUUCAGUCAUGCUUCUUGCGGUGUGUAACAGUUUGACAUUA